CAAAAAUCAAGGUCUUCCUCUGCUCAGAAGCACAGAAACUGUCCAGGAGGGGAAGCUCUAAGUAACGAUAAUAAUAGAAAGUGAUUAACUUGACAGUGAGCUAAGACCAGAUAUGUUCCCGGUGACCCACUGUGAAUGAAAAUUCAAUUUUUGCACAGUUUCACUCUGUGGAGAGAAUAUCGCACUAUUACAAAACUUCUUUUAAAGAAAAGACACUUUGGGAAUUGGCCUCAUCUGGUUUUCAUAGGCAGUUCAGAUACGAAUAAAGGAAAGAAGAAAACAUCUCCUUCCUUAUUCUCCAUCUGCGUAUCUCACUAUUUCUCAUCCUCCUUACAGACACUCAGCUGGAAGUUCACAGAUCCAGUUUCUUCUAGAUUGUUCCUCAAUCUUGUGGAGCAAGUUGGGACUUGCAGGUGACCAAGAAGGGGGAUCUGAGAACCGGAAUCGUCUCCCCUGGCUCUCCGGAAGUGGAAGCAGAGUCAUUGCUGGUUGGUGCCAGCCCUCAGACUUGCUGCUUUGCAGUAGGAAGAAAGCCUCCCCACACACCUUCCCACACUCAUCACCUUGAGCCAGACUCGAUGUCCAGUGAAUAUGACCAUCUCCUGCCCAUUUUCUAAUGAAUGUUUUCAUUAAUGAUUUAUAAGAAUGUGGUGGGUAAAUCUAUGGGCUUUGAAGCUAGUGAAUCAACUUGGUUUCAGAAUCUGGCACUGCUACUUACUAUGUGAAUUUAAGCAAGUUAUUUCACCUUUCAGUGUCAGUUCCCUCAUG
This 768-nucleotide long non-coding RNA is filed under the name Rhinopithecus bieti (black snub-nosed monkey). RNAcentral's name for it is "lncRNA (ENSRBIG00000046478.1)". The record is from RNAcentral. Lineage: Eukaryota; Metazoa; Chordata; Mammalia; Primates; Cercopithecidae.